CCGCAAUAGGGAUCGCAACGGAAAUCCCGCAGCCUCGACUCGUCUUGCAAAGGCGGGGCGAGGCGAGGAAUUGGAGAGAAGAGCCCGACCGACC
RNAcentral lists this unclassified non-coding RNA (94 nucleotides) under Kaistella jeonii. Its description in RNAcentral is "Chryseobacterium jeonii Flavo-1 RNA". Lineage: Bacteria; Pseudomonadati; Bacteroidota; Flavobacteriia; Flavobacteriales; Weeksellaceae. The record is from RNAcentral.